GGCCAGACUCCUACGGGAGGCAGCAGUGGGUUCUCUUGCACAAUUUUUUUAACCCUGAUUCAGCUACGCCGCUUUUUUUAAGGAGCUUUUCUGCGCGUAAAUCCCUAUCGGCAGUGAAGAAGGAGGACUUUACCUGACUAAGACGCCCCGGCUAACUACGUGCCAGCAGCCGCGGUAAUACGUAGGGGGCAAGCGUUAUCCGGAAUUACUGGGUGUAAAGGGAGCGCAGGCGGCAGUGCAAGUCUGGAGUGAAGGCCCGUGGCUUAACCACGGGACUGCUCUGGAAACUGUGCAGCUAGAGUGCAGGAGAGGCAGGCGGAAUUCCUAGUGUAGCGGUGAAAUGCGUAGAUAUUAGGAGGAACACCGGUGGAGAAGGAGGCCUGCUGGACUGUAACUGACGUUGAGGCUCGAAAGCGUGGGGAGCAAACAGGAUUAGAUACCCCGGUAU
This 448-nucleotide ribosomal RNA is filed under the name uncultured bacterium. RNAcentral's name for it is "partial 16S ribosomal RNA". It matches the Rfam family "Bacterial small subunit ribosomal RNA", at positions 329 to 793 of the family's 1533-position model. The record is from RNAcentral.